Molecule: RNA transcript, 941 nt
Organism: Fragaria vesca subsp. vesca
Lineage: Eukaryota; Viridiplantae; Streptophyta; Magnoliopsida; Rosales; Rosaceae
Gene name: zinc finger CCCH domain-containing protein 53-like
Exons: 7
Source: RefSeq, a predicted model, not a curated record
UGUGCUUGGAAGACCCGAAUUCGGGGAUCUAGUGGAAGCGCUGUUUGUAUUAUGCUAGAGGGUACUGCAAGAAUGGGACUAGCUGUAGAUUCUUGCAUGGUGGUGGACUUGGAGACUUGGGUUCAGAUGGUGCUCAACUUGUUGGGUCACCAAGCAAGCUUGAUAUGAUGGACCAGUCAUGCCAUGAAGCGCUUCUGAGAUCCAAGACUCCUCAACAGCAAAGACUGGCUGCAGCUUCCCAGCUUAUGGCCUCGGCCAACUCUUUUCCUUACUCAUCUAAGUGCAUGAACUUCCUUCUUCAACAACAACAAACUGAUGCGCAGAGGCUGCAGCAGCCUUGUUGAUGGGUGAUGAUAACAAAUUUAGUCGAUCUCCUCGGUUGGAAAGAAACGAGUUUCCGAUGAUGAAUGGUGGCGCUGGGAUGGUGAACCCAGCCUCAAGGCAGAUAUACUUGACUUUACCAGCUGAUAGCACUUUCAGAGAAGAAGACGUGUCAAAUUACUUCAGCAUUUAUGGAUCUGUUCAAGAUGUGAGAAUUCCAUACCAGCAGAAGAGGAUGUUUGGUUUUGUUACAUUUGUGUACUCAGAUACUGUGAAGCUUAUUUUGGCAAAAGGGAACCCUCAUUUUGUGUGUGAUGCUAGUGCUGGUCAAGCCUUACAAGGAGAAGGGCAAAGUUCAUGACAAGUACAAGCACACUCUUCUCUUCUCAUUUCUUCAACAAGGGGAAAGAGGAGAUUUGUCGCCCUGUGGCACACUUUCAGGCCCUGAGGACCGACAAAAUAAUAAUUUCUAUCUUGGAGCAAGGAUGUUUUACAAUUCUCAAGACAUGUUGUGGAAGAGGAAGCUAGAAGAGCAAGCUGAGCUGUAGCAAGCACUUGAACUUCAAAGCCGAAGGCUAAUGGGUCUGCAGCUUCUUGAUGUCAAGAAGCUUCACCAUUGA